AUGCACAAUUGGUUUGGACUUCUGAAACACCAUGGAGAUGAGGAAUGCUGCAUCAUGGACGUUAUAUGUGGUCAGGCUGUGGCAGUGCUAUCUGGAGAUGGGGAUGCUCUCUACCAACGAAGGGGACACCUGAACCCAGGUGCACUGCUCAGAAGUUUCAGGAAAAGCACGCUGAUUUCCUUUCUGCCUGGAGUGAAGCUUGGUGUGCAUGGGGAUGCUCAGAGACAGGAUUUAAGAAAGGCAAAGGCAUCCCGAAUCCUUCGUGCUCCCUGGGAACACACAAGCACAACUGCUCUCUGUCACAAUCAGUUCUGGGAUUGCUGCUCCCUCCCAUUUUUCCCAUGGUGGAUUCCAGUCUGACCACAAACUGCAGAUCUUGUUCUGUUUAUUGGUUGCAGGAUGACCAAGAGUCCUGAGGAGGGCUCCUUGCUGCAGGAUGGUCCUCGCUGCCCAGUGUGCAGGUGCUUGUAAAACCACAGGCUGUGAGCGUGGUAUUAGCAAGCAUUAGUGGAGCUUUUGUGUCAUCUCCAGGGAAGAGCUGAGCACAUUGAAGGCAGAAGACAGAUGUCAUUCAGAGGUUAAGUCACUCCUGGACAUGUUCAGAGCUCGUAACUACAGCUGGGGUUGAAACUUUUUGUCCAAAACUUUUCUUUCAUU
This is a long non-coding RNA of Phasianus colchicus (ring-necked pheasant), 657 nucleotides long. The record is from Ensembl. Lineage: Eukaryota; Metazoa; Chordata; Aves; Galliformes; Phasianidae.